CCUACGGGGGGCAGCAGUGGGGAAUAUUGGACAAUGGGGGCAACCCUGAUCCAGCCAUGCCGCGUGUGUGAAGAAGGCCCUCGGGUUGUAAAGCACUUUCAGUGAGGAAGAACGCCUGGUGGUUAAUACCCAUCAGGAAAGACAUCACUCACAGAAGAAGCACCGGCUAACUCCGUGCCAGCAGCCGCGGUAAUACGGAGGGUGCGAGCGUUAAUCGGAAUUACUGGGCGUAAAGCGCGCGUAGGUGGCUUGAUAAGCCGGUUGUGAAAGCCCCGGGCUCAACCUGGGAACGGCAUCCGGAACUGUCAAGCUAGAGUGCAGGAGAGGAAGGUAGAAUUCCCGGUGUAGCGGUGAAAUGCGUAGAGAUCGGGAGGAAUACCAGUGGCGAAGGUGGCCUUCUGGACUGACACUGACACUGAGGUGCGAAAGCGUGGGUAGCAAACAGGAUUAGAUACCCCAGUAGUC
Molecule: ribosomal RNA, 465 nt
Filed under: Vreelandella stevensii
Lineage: Bacteria; Pseudomonadati; Pseudomonadota; Gammaproteobacteria; Oceanospirillales; Halomonadaceae
Description: partial 16S ribosomal RNA
Rfam family: Bacterial small subunit ribosomal RNA
Source: RNAcentral